GCUGAAGUGGUGGAAUUGGUAGACACGUUGGACUUAAAAUCCAAUGUCCCCUGGGACGUACGGGUUCAAGUCCCGUCUUCAGUA
Molecule: transfer RNA, 84 nt
Filed under: Psychroserpens burtonensis
Lineage: Bacteria; Pseudomonadati; Bacteroidota; Flavobacteriia; Flavobacteriales; Flavobacteriaceae
Also listed under: 2 other names
Rfam family: tRNA
About the family: Transfer RNA (tRNA) molecules are approximately 80 nucleotides in length.
Source: Rfam by way of RNAcentral